UAAAGAAUGCCGACUUCCUUGCUGUACUGU
RNAcentral lists this non-coding RNA (30 nucleotides) under Mus musculus (house mouse). Lineage: Eukaryota; Metazoa; Chordata; Mammalia; Rodentia; Muridae. The record is from RNAcentral.